UGUAUAGUAUUUCAACUAUUAUCUGUUUGCACUGGUUUAUUUUAUUAUUCUAUGUGUGAUUCAUUUAAAUGUUUGUGACACUGAAACUGUAUUGAUUCAUGAUUCACAUUAUAAAAACAAAAAAAAAGAAAGAAGACAGUUUUAUUUAUAUAUUCACCGCUAAGAUUCAAGCGUUUUAGUCUUAAACGAAACACUGACAAGAGUACUUGUGAAUAAAUAUUUAACUUAACCUAAAAAAAUAAAAAUCAUACAAAAUGAUGUCCAGAACUUGCCUUUUUGUUCUAAUUGCUUUGUUUGCUGUGACCAGUGUUUUGGCACGCACAACUGUUGCUGAACAAAACUCCAGGCUCGCUAGGCCCGCAAGCCCAGUCACCGGUUCCAAAGCCGUUUGUGGUAAACAUGGCGAUGAUUGUACAAACUCUGACCAAUGUUGCGGCAACACAAGAUGCCAUAUAUAUGCCCAUAAAUGUCAGGCUAUUAUCACUUCAGAAGAUUUGAUCAACCAAAGGAAGAAGCUCAGACAUGUCGAGAUCAAUGCUCACAAGAAGGACAGGAACUACUAAUUUUAAGUGAACAAACUACAUUUUUUGACAUUUGUUACAAUUAACAUGUUUUUUCAUAAGUUGAAUGUUGUUUACCAACAAAAAAAGUUUAAUUAAAUUUUUCUUACAAUGUUAACUUUUAUUAAAAUA
Long non-coding RNA from Episyrphus balteatus (marmalade hoverfly), 692 nucleotides. RefSeq lists it as uncharacterized. Lineage: Eukaryota; Metazoa; Arthropoda; Insecta; Diptera; Syrphidae. The record is from RefSeq and is a predicted model, not a curated record. The transcript has 3 exons.